UUAAAAAUUUAAGUUUAUGGUGUUUCGUGGUUGUUUUGUUUUAAAAGUAUCUAUAUAUCCCGUUUAUAUUAGUGUUUCCUAAAAACGCGAACUAAAUUCAAACUUCGAAACCGCGUCUACGAUAUUCAUACAACAUUCAAACAUCGUUUCGAAAACAAGUCACAAAUUAAAAUUUUAUGACCGCAUUAAAUUUUUCGCAGAUAUUUACUUUUAGGUGUACGGAAUUCGCCAAAUUCGUCUUGUUCUCUUAGGUUCACAAUCAAAUGUCAAAAACGUGCAGCAGCAGUUUUGAAUUACGACGGCUUUGAUUUUAUAUCGAUUUGGAGGAUUUUGCAAUUUGAUUGAACCGAUUACUCAUUGAGUCCAGCAUCAUAUAUUUAAGAAGCCCUUUUCCGUGGUGAACAAAUACUGACUGCAUACAAUGGAAACUUGCAGUCUCUGCAGUCAACGGAUGUCCGACUUCCCAUACGAAAUCCAGUCCAACUAUUGAAUCUAGGUAGGUAGGUGCCUUUUGGCCACAUUGUUUGCCAACCAGUUGGGCAGACAAAUUACAGUUUGAAAGGUCGCCAGCGGCAAACUUGAAAAAGCCGACGAUUAGAUAUGCAUGUAUGUCUUUUGUUCGUUUUCAUGAAACGAUCGUUUUGUUUUCGCUUGUCCACAUGUUUAUUCAAAUCGCCACACUGAACAUUGUCCAUUACAAUAAAUUCCAAAGUCAUCAUA
Drosophila willistoni is the source of this 720-nucleotide long non-coding RNA. RefSeq lists it as uncharacterized. NCBI's taxonomy places the organism in Eukaryota, Metazoa, Arthropoda, Insecta, Diptera, Drosophilidae. The record is from RefSeq and is a predicted model, not a curated record. The transcript is spliced from 2 exons.